Chelonoidis abingdonii (Abingdon island giant tortoise) is the source of this 565-nucleotide non-coding RNA. The record is from RefSeq and is a predicted model, not a curated record. NCBI's taxonomy places the organism in Eukaryota, Metazoa, Chordata, Testudines, Testudinidae.
AGCCCGGUCCCAGGCUAGGUUCAGCCGGCAGUGAGAGGGGAGGGCAGGGCUGGGGGGAGGCGUCUGGCCCAGGCUAAGCCACUGUGCAUUAACCCCGGAGCAGUUAUGACAUAUCUCGAAUACCCAAGCGCAAUCCUCCACCCCCUGCCGCUGCCCGGGUACCGCUCCCGCCCCGCGCCCAGACGGACGGACAGACACACGGCUCAGCAUGUCCGACAGCCCCAGCCCAGGAGGGGCCCCCGAAGAGGGGGUCCCCGAUGAACCCCAGGGGCAGCCCCCCUGCGCUGAGCUCAAAGCAGCUGUGGAGAAAUGCGUGCGUGAGAACGGGGAGGAGUCGUGCAAGGAGCUGAUGGAAUCAUAUCACGAGUGUCUCCGUGCCCUGGGCAUCAAGGUCUAGCAGCCCCCCACCCCACCCCACGGCGCUGGCGUGGUCACUGGGUGCAGCGUCACCCAGGGGAGCCCAGCUGUGAGAGCGAAGAGCCGCCGAGACACGCGAGCAGCCGUGGAGGGGCCAGCUGCUCUGGAUUCGGGGGGCAGGGUAAUAAACGGGCAGCUUUUUACCUGG